CAGUCUGAUGGAGCACGCCGCGUGAGUGAGAAGGCUUUCGGGUCGUAAAACUCUGUUGUUGGAGAAGAAUGGUCGGCAGAGUAACUGUUGUCGGCGUGACGGUAUCCAACCAGAAAGCCACGGCUAACUACGUGCCAGCAGCCGCGGUAAUACGUAGGUGGCAAGCGUUAUCCGGAUUUAUUGGGCGUAAAGCGAGCGCAGGCGGUUUUUUAAGUCUGAUGUGAAAGCCCUCGGCUUAACCGAGGAAGUGCAUCGGAAACUGGGAAACUUGAGUGCAGAAGAGGACAGUGGAACUCCAUGUGUAGCGGUGAAAUGCGUAGAUAUAUGGAAGAACACCAGUGGCGAAGGCGGCUGUCUGGUCUGUAACUGACGCUGAGGCUCGAAAGCAUGGGUAGCGAACAGGAUUAGAUACC
RNAcentral lists this ribosomal RNA (413 nucleotides) under Lacticaseibacillus rhamnosus. RNAcentral describes it as "bacterial SSU rRNA". It matches the Rfam family "Bacterial small subunit ribosomal RNA", at positions 379 to 786 of the family's 1533-position model. Lineage: Bacteria; Bacillati; Bacillota; Bacilli; Lactobacillales; Lactobacillaceae. The record is from RNAcentral.